Molecule: transfer RNA, 75 nt
Filed under: Deltaproteobacteria bacterium
Lineage: Bacteria; Pseudomonadati; Myxococcota; Myxococcia
Also listed under: 2 other names
Description: tRNA-Thr
Rfam family: tRNA
About the family: Transfer RNA (tRNA) molecules are approximately 80 nucleotides in length. Their secondary structure includes four short double-helical elements and three loops (D, anti-codon, and T loops).
Source: RNAcentral
GCCGGCAUAGCUCAGUGGCAGAGCAGCUGAUUCGUAAUCAGCAGGUCUUCGGUUCAAGUCCGAAUGCCGGCUCCA